This 465-nucleotide ribosomal RNA is filed under the name uncultured bacterium. RNAcentral describes it as "partial 16S ribosomal RNA". It matches the Rfam family "Bacterial small subunit ribosomal RNA", at positions 338 to 795 of the family's 1533-position model. The record is from RNAcentral.
CCUACGGGAGACAGCAGUAGGGAAUCUUCCACAAUGGGCGAAAGCCUGAUGGAGCAACGCCGCGUGAGUGAAGAAGGUCUUCGGAUCGUAAAACCCUGUUGUUAGAGAAGAAAGUGCGUGUGAGUACUUGUUCACGUUUAGACGGUAUCUAACCAGAAAGCCACGGCUAACUACGUGCCAGCAGCCGCGGUAAUACGUAGGUGGCAAGCGUUAUCCGGAAUUAUUGGGCGUAAAGGGCACGCAGGCGGUUUUUUAAGUCUGAUGUGAAAGCCUACGGCUUAACCGUAGUAGGGCAUUGGAAACUGGUAGACUUGAGUGCAGGAGAGAAGAGUGGAACUCCAAGUGUAGCGGUGAAAUGCGUAGAGAUUAGGAGGAACACCAGUGGCGAAGGCGGCUCUCUGGCCUGUAACUGACGCUGAGGGGCGAAAGCGUGGGGAGCAAACAGGAUUAGAUACCCUAGUAGUC